RNAcentral lists this ribosomal RNA (274 nucleotides) under uncultured bacterium. Its description in RNAcentral is "partial 16S ribosomal RNA". It matches the Rfam family "Bacterial small subunit ribosomal RNA", at positions 523 to 796 of the family's 1533-position model. The record is from RNAcentral.
CUACGGAGGGGGCUAGCGUUGUUCGGAAUUACUGGGCGUAAAGCGCGCGUAGGCGGAUUGGUUAGUUGGGGGUGAAAUCCCAGGGCUCAACCCUGGAACUGCCCUCAAUACUGCCAGUCUAGAGAUCGAGAGAGGUGAGUGGAAUUCCUAGUGUAGAGGUGAAAUUCGUAGAUAUUAGGAAGAACACCAGUGGCGAAGGCGGCUCACUGGCUCGAUACUGACGCUGAGGCGCGAAAGCGUGGGGAGCAAACAGGAUUAGAAACCCCAGUAGUCC